CGCCUUGGAGAGGGGAAUAACACAGAGAAAUUUAGUGCUAAUACCGCAUGAUGCAGUUGGGUCGGCAUGGCUCUGACUGCCAAAGAUUUUAUCGCUCUGAGAUGGCCUCGCGUCUGAUUAGGUAGUUGGUGGGGCAACGGCUCACCAAGCCGACGAUCAGUAGCCGGACUGAGAGGUUGACCGGCCACAUUGGGACUGAGACACGGCCCAG
Molecule: ribosomal RNA, 211 nt
Filed under: uncultured bacterium
Lineage: Bacteria
Description: partial 16S ribosomal RNA
Rfam family: Bacterial small subunit ribosomal RNA
Source: RNAcentral